Molecule: non-coding RNA, 158 nt
Filed under: Rhizobiaceae bacterium
Lineage: Bacteria; Pseudomonadati; Pseudomonadota; Alphaproteobacteria; Hyphomicrobiales; Rhizobiaceae
Description: 6S RNA
Rfam family: 6S / SsrS RNA
About the family: E. coli 6S RNA was the first non coding RNA to be sequenced, but its function was unknown until recently. It consists of 184 nucleotides that fold into an extended hairpin structure with a large single-stranded internal bulge.
Source: RNAcentral
GGCGUUCUGCGCUUCGCGGCAGGAGUAACUUAUCCCCGGGGCCUUAUUGAUCCUUAGGGAGCUGUCCCUGGCCGGACCCGUGGGUUCGGACACACGGCGCCCACCUACUUUGUAGGCACCCGGGAUCAAACCUCUCCACCGGUCGUCGCGGUUCGCCA